RNAcentral lists this ribosomal RNA (449 nucleotides) under uncultured bacterium. RNAcentral's name for it is "partial 16S ribosomal RNA". It matches the Rfam family "Bacterial small subunit ribosomal RNA", at positions 29 to 523 of the family's 1533-position model. The record is from RNAcentral.
AACGAACGCUGGCGGCAUGCCUAACACAUGCAAGUCGAACGAGAUCUUCGGGUCUAGUGGCGCACGGGUGCGUAACGCGUGGGAAUCUGCCCUUUGGUUCGGAAUAACAGUUGGAAACGACUGCUAAUACCGGAUGAUGACGAAAGUCCAAAGAUUUAUCGCCAGAGGAUGGGCCCGCGUAGGAUUAGCUAGUUGGUGUGGUAAAGGCGCACCAAGGCGACGAUCCUUAACUGGUCUGAGGGGAUGAUCAGCCACACUGGGACUGAGACACGGCCCCGCCCCCUACGGGAGGCAGUAGUGGGGAAUAUUGGACAAUGGGCGAAGGCCUGAUCCAGCAAUGCCACAGGAGUGAUGAAGGCCUUAGGGUUGUAAAGCUCUUUUACCCGGGAUGAUAAUGACAGUACCGGGAGAAUAAGCUCCGGCUAACUCCGUGCCAGCAGCCGCCGUAA